UGAGGGAAAGGCGAAAAGAACCCCGGCGAGGGGAGUGAAAAAGAACCUGAAACCGUGUACGUACAAGCAGUGGGAGCACAGAGCAAUCUGUGUGACUGCGUACCUUUUGUAUAAUGGGUCAGCGACUUAUAUUCUGUAGCAAGGUUAACCGAAUAGGGGAGCCGAAGGGAAACCGAGUCUUAACUGGGCGUUAAGUUGCAGGGUAUAGACCCGAAACCCGGUGAUCUAGCCAUGGGCAGGUUGAAGGUUGGGUAACACUAACUGGAGGACCGAACCGACUAAUGUUGAAAAAUUAGCGGAUGACUUGUGGCUGGGGGUGAAAGGCCAAUCAAACCGGGAGAUAGCUGGUUCUCCCCGAAAGCUAUUUAGGUAGCGCCUCGUGAAUUCAUCUCCGGGGGUAGAGCACUGUUUCGGCAAGGGGGUCAUCCCGACUUACCAACCCGAUGCAAACUGCGAAUACCGGAGAAUGUUAUCACGGGAGACACACGGCGGGUGCUAACGUCCGUCGUGAAGAGGGAAACAACCCAGACCGCCAGCUAAGGUCCCAAAGUCAUGGUUAAGUGGGAAACGAUGUGGGAAGGCCCAGACAGCCAGGAUGUUGGCUUAGAAGCAGCCAUCAUUUAAAGAAAGCGUAAUAGCUCACUGGUCGAGUCGGCCUGCGCGGAAGAUGUAACGGGGCUAAACCAUGCACCGAAGCUGCGGCAGCGACGCUUAUGCGUUGUUGGGUAGGGGAGCGUUCUGUAAGCCUGUGAAGGUGUACUGUGAGGUAUGCUGGAGGUAUCAGAAGUGCGAAUGCUGACAUAAGUAACGAUAAAGCGGGUGAAAAGCCCGCUCGCCGGAAGACCAAGGGUUCCUGUCCAACGUUAAUCGGGGCAGGGUGAGUCGACCCCUAAGGCGAGGCCGAAAGGCGUAGUCGAUGGGAAACAGGUUAAUAUUCCUGUACUUGGUGUUACUGCGAAGGGGGGACGGAGAAGGCUAUGUUGGCCGGGCG
Molecule: ribosomal RNA, 991 nt
Filed under: Escherichia coli
Lineage: Bacteria; Pseudomonadati; Pseudomonadota; Gammaproteobacteria; Enterobacterales; Enterobacteriaceae
Description: partial 23S ribosomal RNA
Rfam family: Bacterial large subunit ribosomal RNA
Source: RNAcentral